AGUCACUGACAUUAGAUACCCGUGUAGUCCAGGGUGUAAACGCUGCAGACUUGGUGUUGGAAGUCCUUUGGGGGCAUUCAGUGCCGGAGAGAAGUUGUUAAGUCUGCUACUUGGGGAGUACGUCCGCAAGGAUGAAACUUAAAGGAAUUGGCGGGGGAGCACCGCAACGGGAGGAGCGUGCGGUUUAAUUGGAUUCAACACCGUAAACUCACCAGGGAAGACUGUUACAUGAAAGCCGAGAUGAAGACUCUGCUAGAUUUUCAG
This 264-nucleotide ribosomal RNA is filed under the name uncultured archaeon. RNAcentral describes it as "partial 16S ribosomal RNA". It matches the Rfam family "Archaeal small subunit ribosomal RNA", at positions 717 to 982 of the family's 1478-position model. The record is from RNAcentral.